RNAcentral lists this long non-coding RNA (462 nucleotides) under Setaria viridis. Its description in RNAcentral is "long non-coding RNA (SVIR_LNC000760)". Lineage: Eukaryota; Viridiplantae; Streptophyta; Magnoliopsida; Poales; Poaceae. The record is from RNAcentral.
UGGCUGCUAAGCUGGCUGAAUAAGCUGAAGCGAACAGACCUCUUGUAGAAUUCGAACCUAUUUGAGUCCUCGACUCGCCACUGGUACUCGUAUUUUUCUGAAUUUAUUAGACGACGUGCCCAUUGAAUAGUGAAGCGUCGAUGGUACUUCAUAAAUCUUAAGGAUGCUCAUAGGGAUAGGGUUGUGUACGUGUAUUCAUAGGAUUGAGUAUGCAUGUAUUUGUGUGCAUCUACGUGUACGUGUUUUGCAAAAAGAAAAGUUAAUACUUUAAAGCGUUAAGUCAUAGUGCGUUUCUAAGCGUACACUUGGGCAUUUUAAAGAAAAAAAUCCCAGAUGUUUCAUAUAUAGAUAUAGAACGCGCACGCUCACUGGCUCGUCCAGCGCAAAACCACAAGUUCAGCAUAUUGGCUUUGGUUUUGAGCAAGUCAUCGUGUAAGUCAACUACCUAAUGACCCUUUCGGU